AGAGUUUGAUCAUGGCUCAGAACGAACGCUGGCGGCAGGCCUAACACAUGCAAGUCGAACGUGAAGCCACCUUCGGGUGGUGGAAAGUGGCAGACGGGUGAGUAACGCGUGGGAACGUGCCUUUCGGUUCGGGAUAACCCAGGGAAACUUGGGCUAAUACCGGAUACGCCCUUCGGGGGAAAGAUUCAUUGCCGAAAGAUCGGCCCGCGUCGGAUUAGCUAGUUGGUGGGGUAAAAGCCUACCAAGGCGACGAUCCGUAGCUGGUCUGAGAGGAUGACCAGCCACACUGGGACUGAGACACGGCCCAGACUCCUACGGGAGGCAGCAGUGGGGAAUAUUGGACAAUGGGCGCAAGCCUGAUCCAGCCAUGCCGCGUGGGUGAAGAAGGCCCUAGGGUUGUAAACCCCUUUCAGCGGGGAAGAUAAUGACGGUACCCGCAGAAGAAGCCCCGGCUAACUCCGUGCCAGCAGCCGCGGUAAUACGGAGGGGGCUAGCGUUGUUCGGAAUUACUGGGCGUAAAGCGCGCGUAGGCGGACCUGCAAGUCGGGGGUGAAAGCCCGAGGCUCAACCUCGGAACUGCCUUCGAUACUGCGGGUCUCGAGUCCGGGAGAGGUGAGUGGAAUUCCUAGUGUAGAGGUG
This 639-nucleotide ribosomal RNA is filed under the name uncultured bacterium. RNAcentral describes it as "bacterial SSU rRNA". It matches the Rfam family "Bacterial small subunit ribosomal RNA", at positions 8 to 683 of the family's 1533-position model. The record is from RNAcentral.